CCCCUCUCCUCCCACUGGGAGGCGCCCAGAUUGUCCCAGUACAGCUGGUUUUCAAAGCCUUGAACCAGAAGGCGCCCCUCUGUGGGCCACACUCUCCCCAUCUGUACAAUGGGUGUCCAUGUAUGCAAAUGCAGUAAUUCCGUUCCAUUCGGGUCUCCCCUCCUCUACCCCGUUUUAAUUUUAGAAGCUUAGUCUGUUCUCUCUCCACUUCUCUCACAUAGCCUUCUCAUUCCUCUUUUCCUUGCCCAGAUAGGGCACCCUUCUCAUUCACAAAGUGCCCCCUCCAUGUCCCUGGACCCUUAGGAUAUCCCCUGGGGGCCCCCGAGUCAGAGACCGUCUGACUCAGGUUUUGCCUACAGAGUGCCCUGAAAGAGGAAAUGGCACUGUCUUCGGGGCUUUGAGGGUCAAGUAGGAGUUGCCAACACCUGGAAAGGACUCUUUCUGCUCCAUCCCUGGACAGUCAUGGAGGAUUGGGAGGUUAGAGAGAGGAAGGAAGAUGGUUUCAAUCUCGUGCCUCUCCCCACGGGGAGUGGGGGAAGCUGAAUGACCCUCAGCUGUUCCAAUCCAGUGGGUUUUUUUAAUUUGUUUUUUUGAUUAAAAAAUUACUGUAUUUAUUAUGACAAUGGUGACUCCCCGGUGCAUGGGGGGCCAGAUUCUGUGUGUUUCUCUAACCUCUUUGUAAAUAAAUGCACAAUGUUACAUAU
RNAcentral lists this long non-coding RNA (704 nucleotides) under Rattus norvegicus (Norway rat). RNAcentral's name for it is "long non-coding RNA NONRATT000390". Lineage: Eukaryota; Metazoa; Chordata; Mammalia; Rodentia; Muridae. The record is from RNAcentral.